GGCUCAGAACGAACGCUGGCGGCGUGCCUAACACAUGCAAGUCGAACGCGAAAAGCAGUAAUGCUGAGUAGAGUGGCGCACGGGUGAGUAACACGUAACUGACAUGUCCUAGAGACAAGGAUAACCAUUCGAAAGGAUGGCUAAUACUUGGUAAGCCCACGGCUUUGGAGCUGCGGGAAAAGGGUCGGGACCUUUCGAGGCCGAUCGCUUUGGGAGUGGGUUGCGGCCCAUCAGGUAGUUGGCGGGGUAACGGCCCACCAAGCCUAAGACGGGUAGCUGGUCUGAGAGGAUGAUCAGCCACACUGGAACUGAGACACGGUCCAGACUCCUACGGGAGGCAGCAGUGGGGAAUCUUGCGCAAUGGGAGAAAUCCUGACGCAGCAACGCCGCGUGGGUGAUGAAGGUCUUCGGAUCGUAAAGCCCUGUCGGAGGGGAAGAUGCUUUCUGUCGCUAAUAUCGGCAGGAGGUGACGGUACCCUCAAAGGAAGCACCGGCUAACUCUGUGCCAGCAGCCGCGGUAAUACAGAGGGUGCAAGCGUUGUUCGGAAUUAUUGGGCGUAAAGGGAGUGUAGGCUGUUCCUUAAGUCUUCUGUGAAAUCUACGGGCUUAGCCUGUAACGUGCAGAGGAAACUGGGGGACUUGAGUGUCGGAGAGGGUAGCGGAAUUCCCGGUGUAGAGGUGAAAUUCGUAGAGAUCGGGAGGAACACCAGUGGCGAAGGCGGCUACCUGGCUGACAACUGACGCUGAGACUCGAAAGCAUGGGGAGCAAACAGGAUUAGAUACCCUGGUAGUCCAUGCCGUAAACGAUGAUAGCUAGAUGUGUGCGGUAUUGACCCCGUACGUGUCGAAGCCAACGCGAUAAGCUAUCCGCCUGGGGAGUACGGUC
This 886-nucleotide ribosomal RNA is filed under the name uncultured bacterium. RNAcentral's name for it is "bacterial SSU rRNA". It matches the Rfam family "Bacterial small subunit ribosomal RNA", at positions 21 to 887 of the family's 1533-position model. The record is from RNAcentral.